UCCCUGGUGGUCCAGUGGUUAGGACUCUGAGCUUCUACCACCGGGAUCCUGGGUUCAAUCCCCGGUCGGGGAA
Balaenoptera ricei (Rice's whale) is the source of this 73-nucleotide non-coding RNA. The record is from the annotation of a RefSeq genome assembly. NCBI's taxonomy places the organism in Eukaryota, Metazoa, Chordata, Mammalia, Artiodactyla, Balaenopteridae.